AAUCAGCUGAGGGUUAGUCGGGGCCUAACGCGUACCCGAAAGGGGAAGUGGAUGGACAUAGGGUUAAUAUUCCCUAACUUGCUCACGAAUAAAGGGGACGGUUGGAUGUAGCUACUGGAGACUGACGGAAUAGUCAAGACUUAGCCUUCGGGCGAAGUUGUUGUAGUGUAAUCUGAUCCAAGAAAAGCCGAAGUGAAGCAACCCGUACCAAAACCGACACAGGUAGUCGAGGAGAGAAUCCUAAGGUGCUCGAGUGAGUCGUGGCUAAGGAACUAGGCAAAAUAGUCUCGUAACUUCGGAAGAAGAGACGCCAGCAGUAAUGCUGGCCGCAGUGAAGAGGCCCAGGCGACUGUUUAUCAAAAACACAGGACUCUGC
This 376-nucleotide ribosomal RNA is filed under the name Aurantiochytrium limacinum. Its description in RNAcentral is "partial Bacterial large subunit ribosomal RNA". It matches the Rfam family "Bacterial large subunit ribosomal RNA", at positions 1367 to 1826 of the family's 2925-position model. Lineage: Eukaryota; Bigyra; Thraustochytrida; Thraustochytriidae. The record is from RNAcentral.